RNAcentral lists this ribosomal RNA (499 nucleotides) under uncultured Glomeromycotina. RNAcentral describes it as "partial small subunit ribosomal RNA". It matches the Rfam family "Eukaryotic small subunit ribosomal RNA", at positions 591 to 1092 of the family's 1831-position model. Lineage: Eukaryota; Fungi; Glomeromycota. The record is from RNAcentral.
CCAAUAGCGUAUAUUAAAGUUGUUGCAGUUAAAAAGCUCGUAGUUGAAUUUCGGGACCAAUAUGUCGGUCGUGCCUCGGUACGUACUGGUGUCAUUGGUUUCUCCCUUCUGAGGAUCCUUGAUGUCAUUAAUUUGGUGUCUUGGGGAAUCAGGACUGUUACCUUGAAAAAAUUAGAGUGUUUAAAGCAGGCAUACGCUUGAAUACAUUAGCAUGGAAUAAUGAAAUAGGACGUUCGAUUCUAUUUUGUUGGUUUCUAGGAUCGACGUAAUGAUUAAUAGGGAUAGUUGGGGGCAUUAGUAUUCAAUUGUCAGAGGUGAAAUUCUUGGAUUUAUUGAAGACUAACUACUGCGAAAGCAUUUGCCAAGGAUGUUUUCAUUAAUCAAGAACGAAAGUUAGGGGAUCGAAGACGAUCAGAUACCGUCGUAGUCUUAACCAUAAACUAUGCCGACUAGGGAUCGGAUGAUGUUAAUUUUUUAAUGACUCAUUCGGCGCCUUACG